Toxotes jaculatrix (banded archerfish) is the source of this 966-nucleotide long non-coding RNA. RefSeq lists it as uncharacterized. The transcript has 3 exons. NCBI's taxonomy places the organism in Eukaryota, Metazoa, Chordata, Actinopteri, Toxotidae. The record is from RefSeq and is a predicted model, not a curated record.
GUGUAGCAGGAGGUGAAAUCGAUGAGAGUAGUUCUUCAUCUUUAGAGGACAUUUGAGGAGGCUCCUGGACAUAAAGCACAGACACAGACAGUGUGUUUAAGAGGAGGAUCCUGCGGUACUGCUACCUGUCCCUGCUGGCAUUAGACUAAAGGUGGGGGAAGUCACCAGUCUAUGACAGGGCUAUCACAUACAGGCAAACAGGGAUACUUCAUACUCAGAUUCACUCCUGGAUGUCUUUGGCACCUGAGGAAACCCACACAGAAUGAUGAAAGCACCCCUCCCACCCCUCUCAUAGACUCUUCACUCCUCUGCCAUCUGGCAGAUGGUGCCGCAACAUCUCUGAGGGUACAGCUUCUUCUUUGAUGCAGUCAGGCUCAACAGCCUGUUUCCUGCAAACAUUCACCAUAACUGAACUAGCCAGACAACAAACCUCCAUGUUCACUUUGUAUGGUUUAUCUAGUGCUUGGUACAGAGUUUAUGUAUUGUUAUUGUUGCACAAUGGCCCUGGAGAAAUAAAAUGUAUUCUAAUAUUUUAUGGAUAGUUUGUCAGAAAAAAUCUACUUGACUUGACCCAACUUACUAAAAUCCCUCACUUGAUAUAUAAUAUUUUUUGUGGCUAAGUAUUUCAUUAAUGAUUAAUCUGCUGAUUAUUUUCUUGAUUAACUAAUUCUAAAUUUUGUGUAUUAAAUGUGAGAAAAUGUUGAAAAAUGCUUGCUAUAACCUCUCACUGCACAAAGUAGCCUCUCUAUAUUUUUUUUUCAAAGUCCAAAGGUAUUCAGUUUACUAUCAUGUACGACAAAGAAAAGCAUCAGAUCCUCACAUUUGAGAAACUGGAAACAGCCAAUGUUUGACAUUUUUGCUUAGAAAGUGACCAAGAUGUUUAUUCAGUUAUCAAAAUUAAAUUUAAAUUGUUGGCAUUCUGUAUAUCAGAAUCCUACAUGGCUUAUACUCAAAUAUACUUUACCU